UUUAGAAAACAGUAAUUUCAUGAAAAUCCUUUUAUAAAAUAUAUGGCUCAGUUUUAAACCCCUUUUGAAAAUAAUCUUUUAACAGUUGCAAACUAAUUCCAGCCAUCAGUAUCACUAUGUACAGAAACCCGCCCCUCGGGCAAUAUCUGCGUUCCUGGUCAGCCAUUCGGGCCCCAAUACUCAAUGAUCAGAUAGCACCAGCAAAUGCAGAUAAAUAUCUCAAGAAAUAUCACAAACAACAAAUAAUGAACAUAUGCAUAAAUGCAAUACAUAUGAUGGUACAUUCCAAUACCCACUGCGGCGUGCAACCCGAGCUAUCCAUAUUUAUUUAUCAUCGACGGCGCUUACUGGAGGUGUGUACAAACUCCGGAGGGGCUCCUACAGCCCAAGCGCAAUAUAUUGGUCAAUCAUUGUUACUUGACCAGUCAGCCAAUGUUACCUGACCAAUUUAUAUCAUACAGUGCCAUUGUUACCACUGUUCCAAGUAUAUAUUUCAGCGUCAUUGUUACCACUGUUUCAAGUAUAACAUAUAAUAUCAUUAUUACCACUGUUUCAAGUAUAUAUUAUAGUGUCAUUGUUACCACUGUUUCAAGUCACUUUAUUAU
This 605-nucleotide long non-coding RNA is filed under the name Nicotiana benthamiana. RNAcentral's name for it is "long non-coding RNA (NBEN_LNC021366)". The record is from RNAcentral. Lineage: Eukaryota; Viridiplantae; Streptophyta; Magnoliopsida; Solanales; Solanaceae.